UCCUACUUUCGCGGCAGUCCGUCCAGAGUCCCCGCCAUGACGCGUUGGUAACUGAACGUAGGGGUUUCGCUCGUUAAAGGACUUAACCUAACACCUCACGGCACGAGCUGACGACAGCCAUGCAGCACCUGUUCCGGUUACACCUUGAGAGUAAUCACUGAGCUUUCACCCAGCUAAUCCCGGUAUGUCAAGACCUGGUAAGGUUCUUCGCGUUGCUUCGAAUUAAACCACAUCCUCCACCGCUUGUGUGAGCCCCCGUCAAUUCCUUUGAGUUUUAGCCUUGCGGCCGUACUCCCCAGGCGGAGUGCUUAACGCGUUAGCUACGACGCCGCGGGGGUCAAUACCCACGACAUCCAGCACUCAUCGUUUACAGCGUGGACUAC
Molecule: unclassified non-coding RNA, 383 nt
Filed under: uncultured Planctomycetota bacterium
Lineage: Bacteria; Pseudomonadati; Planctomycetota
Description: uncultured planctomycete contains 16S-23S intergenic spacer region
Source: RNAcentral